AUACGGCGGCUCCGCCCUCUGCUUGCAGAGCCGGAGGUGAGCAGGAAGGAGACUGCCGCGCAGCAGCCCCCGGGCCCGCGGUAGAGGGGGCAGAGCCGGUGGCAGCGCCGAGGGACUCUGAGGCCUCGGGCGGGGGCCGGCCUGGAGUUCCAGGGGGGCUGCGCCAAGCAAGAUGAGGCGAUUCCUGAGGUCCGGACAUGACCCUGCUCGGGAGAGGCUCAAGCGGGACCUCUUCCAGUUUAACAAGACGGUGGAGCAUGGCUUCCCGCACCAGCCCAGCGCCCUUGGCUACAGUCCCUCUCUUCGCAUCCUGGCCAUCGGCACCCGCUCCGGAGCUGUCAAGCUCUAUGGUGCCCCCGGGGUGGAGUUCAUGGGGCUGCACCGGGAGAACAAUGCGGUGGUACAGGUUCACUUCCUGCCUGGCCAGUGCCAGCUGGUUACCCUGCUGGACGACAAUAGCCUGCACCUGUGGAGCCUGAAGGUCAAAGGCGGGGUGUCAGAGCUGCAGGAAGAUGAGAGUUUCAUGCUGCGUGGCCCCCCAGGGGCUGCCCCCAGUGCCACACAGAUCACCGUGGUCCUGCCACAUUCCUCUCGAGAGCUACUUUACCUGGGCACAGAAAGUGGCAACGUGUUUGUGGUACAGCUGCCAGCCUUCCACACACUGGAGGACCAGACCAUCAGCUCGGAUGCCGUGCUGCAGCGGUUGCCGGAGGAGGCCCGCCAUCGGCGGGUGUUUGAAAUGGUGGAGGCCCUGCAGGAGCACCCCCGAAACCCCACCCAGGUCCUCAUCGGCUACAGCCGGGGCCUCGUCGUUGUCUGGGACCUGCAGGGCAGCCGUGUGCUCUGCCAUUUCCUCAGCAGCCAGCAACUGGAGAAUGUCUGCUGGCAGCAGGACGGCCGCCUGAUUGUCAGCUGCCAUUCCGACGGCAGCUAUUGUCAGUGGCCCACGUCCAGCGACAUCCAGCAGCCAGAGCCCCUGCGCAACUGCGUGCCUUAUGGUCCUUUUCCUUGCAAAGCUAUUACCAAAAUCUUCUGGCUGACCACCAAGCAGGGGUUGCCCUUCACCAUCUUCCAGGGUGGCAUGCCACGGGCCAGCUAUGGGGACCGCCACUGCAUCUCGGUGGUGCACGACGGCCAGCAGACAGCCUUCGACUUCACCUCCCGUGUCAUUGACUUUACUGUCCUCACUGAGGUGGACCCUGCCGCUGCCUUUGAUGAGCCCUGUGCCUUGGUGGUGCUAGCCGAGGAGGAGCUGGUGCUGAUUGACCUGCAGACGGCCGGGUGGCCAGUAGUCCAGCCUCCCUACCUGGCCUCCCUGCACUGCUCUGCCAUCACCUGCUCCCACCAUGUCUCCAACAUCCCCCUGAAGCUGUGGGAGCGGAUCAUCGCCGCUGGCAGCCGGCAGAACACACACUUCUCCAGCAUGGAGUGGCCCAUCGAUGGUGGCACCAGCCUGGCCCCAGCCCCACCCCAGAGGGACCUGCUGCUCACAGGGCAUGAGGACGGCACUGUGCGAUUCUGGGAUGCCUCUGGUGUCUGCUUGCGACUGCUGUACAAGCUCAGCACAGUGCGAGUGUUUCUCACUGACACAGACCCCAGUGAAAGCCUCAGUGCCCAGGGCGAGGACGAAUGGCCCCCUCUCCGCAAGGUGGGUUCCUUCGACCCUUACAGUGACGAUCCCCGGCUGGGCAUCCAGAAGAUUUUCCUCUGCAAAUACAGUGGCUAUCUGGCUGUGGCAGGCACAGCAGGGCAGGUGCUGGUGCUGGAGCUGAAUGACGAGGAGGCGGAGCACGCUGUGGAGCAGGUAGAGGCUGACCUCCUGCAGGACCAGGAGGGCUACCGCUGGAAGGGACACGAGCGUCUGUGUGCCCGCCCGGUGCCCGUGCACUUUGAGCCCGGCUUCCAGCCCUUUGUGUUGGUGCAGUGCCAGCCCCCGGCUGUGGUCACCUCCUUGGCCCUGCACUCCGAGUGGCGGCUUGUGGCCUUCGGCACAAGUCAUGGCUUUGGCCUCUUUGACCACCAGCAGCGGCGGCAGGUUUUCGUCAAGUGCACACUGCACCCCAGUGACCAGCUAGCCCUGGAGGGCCCACUGUCCCGUGUGAAGUCCCUAAAGAAGUCCCUGCGCCAGUCCUUCCGCCGAAUACGUCGAAGCCGGGUGUCCAGCAGGAAGCGGCGGCCAGCCGGGCCCCCAGGAGAGCAGGUGCAGGAGGGAAGCGCCAGGGCAGAGCGGCCGGGCCUGCAGAACAUGGAGCUAGCACCCGUGCAGCGGAAGAUCGAGGCCCGCUCAGCAGAGGACUCCUUCACGGGCUUUGUCCGGACCCUCUACUUUGCUGACACCUACCUGAGAGACAGCUCCCGCCACUGUCCCUCGCUGUGGGCCGGCACCAAUGGGGGCACUGUCUACGCCUUCGCCCUGCGUGUGCCCCCUGCUGAGCGGAGAAUGGAUGAGCUGGUUCGGGCAGAGCAGGCUAAGGAGAUCCAACUGAUGCACCGAGCACCUGUGGUGGGCAUCCUGGUGCUGGACGGACAUCACGUUCCCCUUCCUGAGCCCCUGGAAGUGGCGCAUGACCUGUCGAAGAGCCCAGACAUGCAGGGAAGCCACCAGUUGCUCGUUGUGUCAGAGGAGCAGUUCAAGGUAUUCACGCUGCCCAAGGUGAGCGCCAAGCUGAAGCUGAAACUGACCGCCCUGGAGGGCUCACGGAUACGGCGCGUCAGUGUGGCCCACUUUGGCAGCUGUCGAGCUGAGGACUAUGGGGAGCAUCACCUGGCCGUCCUUACCAACUUGGGCGACAUCCAGGUGGUCUCGUUGCCCCUGCUCAAGCCCCAGGUGCGUUACAGCUGCAUCCGCCGGGAGGAUGUCAGUGGCAUCGCCUCCUGCGUCUUCACCAAAUACGGCCAAGGUUUCUACCUGAUCUCCCCCUCGGAGUUUGAGCGCUUCUCUCUCUCUACCAAGUGGCUGGUUGAGCCCCGGUGUCUGGUGGAUUCAGCAGAAGCCAAGAACCACAGCCGCCCCCGCCAUGAGAAGGCUGUGGGCCGUGCCAGGAUCUCAGGGAGCCAGAGUGGUGGAGAGGGUAAGGCAGGCCUCCGGGGCCGGGGACGCGCGGGGGCAGAGGCGUGGCGAGCACACCUGGGGCUGGGAGGUGGGGAAGGGGCCUCAGGCGAGCAGGUGGCGCUCAGAUUGGGAGCAGAAGCAGCAUCCCUUGUGUCCUGGACAAGGACGGAGCUGGGGCAGAGGGCCCAGGGCUCGCCUGACCUGGCUUCUACCCUCCAGAGAGGAGGCCUGGCCUCGUGAUGGAGCAUGCUCUGCUCAGUGACGAGAAGGUCCUGACAGCCAUCCAGAGCACGCUGGAGGGGGGCCGACGGAGCUCUGGCGAUUGGUAUUCUCAGCGACUGGCCAUGGGGUACAGCCUCAGCAAUGGGGCAGGGUCCUGCAGACCUUUGGAUCCAUUCUAGCCCUGACACAUGGGCCUGCUCGUCCUGAAAACCCAUGUCUGGUCUCAGGGCGGGUGGCCAAGGCCCCUUCCUGCCAAGGAUGCUCCCGAGUUGCUGUCACUCCCUUCACAGCAGACUGAGCGGGAUGCACACCCAGGCUGCACGAUGAACACACACUACUGAGGGCUCCUCCCUGGGGCACUUCGCCUGGGCAGGCAUGUGCCGGGGAGCCGGGAGCACCCCCAGUCCCCACCCUGCUGCUGCUCCUGGCCUCAGGACAGGAGGAGCCCCAGAGCCCUGGGGCUGUCCCUCCCUGUGUCUCGUCUGUCUCGGUCCCUUUGUCAAUGUUGCACAGUUUUUAUCCCCUCCUCCCUUUUUGUAGUCGGCUGGGUUUUAAAUUAUAAAAUGUAACUGUCUCUGGGUGAGAAAGAAUUUUUAAUAAAUACCUUAUUACCUCUUCA
This is an RNA transcript of Manis pentadactyla (Chinese pangolin), 3893 nucleotides long. It is a transcript of the gene named LLGL scribble cell polarity complex component 2, with no coding region annotated. Lineage: Eukaryota; Metazoa; Chordata; Mammalia; Pholidota; Manidae. The transcript has 25 exons. The record is from RefSeq and is a predicted model, not a curated record.